RNAcentral lists this transfer RNA (81 nucleotides) under Rosellinia necatrix. RNAcentral's name for it is "tRNA-Ser". It matches the Rfam family "tRNA". From Rfam's summary of the family: Transfer RNA (tRNA) molecules are approximately 80 nucleotides in length. Their secondary structure includes four short double-helical elements and three loops (D, anti-codon, and T loops). Further hydrogen bonds mediate the characteristic L-shaped molecular structure. tRNAs have two regions of fundamental functional importance: the anti-codon, which is responsible for specific mRNA codon recognition, and the 3' end, to which the tRNAs corresponding amino acid is attached (by aminoacyl-tRNA synthetases). tRNAs cope with the degeneracy of the genetic code in two manners: having more than one tRNA (with a specific anti-codon) for a particular amino acid; and 'wobble' base-pairing, i.e. permitting non-standard base-pairing at the 3rd anti-codon position. Lineage: Eukaryota; Fungi; Ascomycota; Sordariomycetes; Xylariales; Xylariaceae. The record is from RNAcentral.
GGCAUGUUGCCAGAGUGGUUAAUGGGUGAGACUUGAAAUCUCAUGGCUUCGGCCGCGUAGGUUCAAAUCCUGCACAUGUCG